AUGGCAUCGGCAGGGUUUAACGGGAGCGUCAUAGAUCCCACUGCUUCUCGCUGCAAACAGUUGGCGGCAUUCAGUUUCAUCAGGUCAUUGGUCACGACAAUUGUUGCGGUGAUAAGAAACCCAACUCACCCCCCACCUAGCCAGUUUGAGUGCCCAAACUGCAAAUACUGCAUUGAUAACAGUGAUGUUUUAUCAUUGUGGCCAGGACUCCCUGCAGGUGUUAAAUUUGAUCCAACUGAUCUCGAAUUGCUUGAACAUUUAGAAGGAAAGGUUGGCAGGGCACCGUCCCAUGACCUAAUAGAUGGUUUUAUUCCAACCAUAGAGGAGGCCGAAGGAAUCUGCUAUACACAUCCGGAAAAUCUCCCUGGUACCAAGAUGGAUGGGAGAAACAAUCAUUUCUUCCACAAAAUAUCAAAUGCGUACGAUGUUGGCCAGCGCAAGCGUCGCAAGAUUAGCAACAGUGACCACACUAUUUGUGAUGAGCAUUUUAGAUGGCACAAAACUGGAAAAUCCAAACAUAUCUUUGAUAAUAAUGGUGUCAUAAAAGGGUGGAAGAAAAUAUUGGUUCUUUCCAUGCGUUCUAGGAAAGGCCAAAAAACUAAUUGGACGAUGCAUCAGUAUCACCUUGGGGUAGAUCAAGAUGAAAACCAUGGGGAGCUUGUUGUUUCCAAAGUCUUUUAUCAGUCAAAGAAAGCUGGCAGCCUAUAA
RNAcentral lists this ribosomal RNA (708 nucleotides) under Triticum aestivum (bread wheat). Its description in RNAcentral is "partial small subunit ribosomal RNA". The record is from RNAcentral. Lineage: Eukaryota; Viridiplantae; Streptophyta; Magnoliopsida; Poales; Poaceae.